GUGGGAUGGUGUAACGGUCGUGUCCCAACGGUUAGUAACGUUCACAUAGCCAGACGGUGUCACGCUCGUGACAGGGGCGUUACGGGCGUCACAAGCACUUGGUGUGACGUCCGUCAUGGAUAGUGUGACGCUCGUCACACGGUAAGCUGCAACGGUCACUGCUUGCGUUCUUCAUAAUAAUUUAUAGUAAUUUAUUUUUAUUAUUUUGUUUU
This 212-nucleotide long non-coding RNA is filed under the name Lathyrus oleraceus (garden pea). RNAcentral's name for it is "Pisum sativum (pea) long non-coding RNA (PSAT_LNC010963)". Lineage: Eukaryota; Viridiplantae; Streptophyta; Magnoliopsida; Fabales; Fabaceae. The record is from RNAcentral.